UAUUAUGUGAUGAAGAGAAGAGUAGUUUGCAAGUAGUUUUUUCAGAGAGAGUCCGUUAUGCUGUGAGGGCUUAAAACGAAAGAAGAUGAAGAUGAGCUCUGAGCAUUAGUGGUUGUGCAAGCAAUUAUUACAGUAAGACCUGUUAUCGUCUAGCUUAUUGAUUCUAGUAAGUUGUUGAGGUGUUUUCUGUGAGGAAGACACGAAUUAAGGUGGUAACGCGUUGCUUUCGUCCUUUAC
Molecule: non-coding RNA, 237 nt
Filed under: Ligilactobacillus pobuzihii
Lineage: Bacteria; Bacillati; Bacillota; Bacilli; Lactobacillales; Lactobacillaceae
Description: Lactobacillus pobuzihii T-box sequence
Rfam family: T-box leader
About the family: Uncharged tRNA acts as the effector for transcription antitermination of genes in the T-box leader family. T-boxes are found upstream of many aminoacyl-tRNA synthetase genes and some amino acid biosynthetic genes usually in Gram-positive bacteria.
Source: RNAcentral